CACGUUCAUCAGUGAAGUUCAUUUUUGAUGUUAUAUCUGGUUACAACACUUGAGAUCACGUUCAUCAGUGAAGUUCAUUUUUGUUCUAAUUCAGUGACUCUGUUACCUUAUAAGGAAUGGAAAUACACAUAUUUCUACUCUGAAACCCUCCCUCCCUCUAUGUAUCUGUGUGCACAGGGUUGUAAAGGCAGUGGGAAGGAAAGCUUGAGAUAUAAUCUUGGUGGUGCAAAGGGGAAGGAGAGAGAAGACGGGGAGUGAGUGAGGAAGGCAGAAGGAUGGGGACCAGGGUGUGACCUGACACCCCUGACCUGGUUUAAGAAAGCAUGAGCCCCUGCCUAGAAAAAGCUCCUGGGGUUCAGCAUGAAGAUCCACAGUGAGGACCCCUGAAAUCCAGCAGGUGCUGAGUCUUCAAGUGCAGAUCAUUUGGGAGUAAGCUUGCUUUCUGCUCUCCUCACCAUGCCCACACGCCCCCAACCCACCACCCUUGCUCCCAGAAGAGGACAGGGGUUUGCUGUUUGCAGCUGGAGAAUUUUCUGGUAUUGGAGGUGAACCCCUGAUUUUUCCAUUCCUGAUACCAGCCCGAGCUCUGUUGGAAUAGCUAUGUGGACCACCUUCCCCUGCCCUUAAGCUAUUGAAUCCCAAAUAACUAAAGAUGCAGAUAAACUGGAGAUAAGAUGGUGGGCCUCUGGAUGCCAGAGAGGGAAGUGGGGACUCUCACCACCCUGAGAC
RNAcentral lists this small RNA (729 nucleotides) under Bos taurus (domestic cattle). The record is from RNAcentral. Lineage: Eukaryota; Metazoa; Chordata; Mammalia; Artiodactyla; Bovidae.